This 4038-nucleotide unclassified non-coding RNA is filed under the name Hevea brasiliensis (rubber tree). Lineage: Eukaryota; Viridiplantae; Streptophyta; Magnoliopsida; Malpighiales; Euphorbiaceae. The record is from RNAcentral.
AGAGAGAGAGAGAGAGAGAGAUUAAUGGGUAUUGUUUCUUCUUUGAAAUCGCUCUCUUAUUUUACGAAUAUAUGACAACAAAGCUCCUUGUUCAAUCUGUUGUGGUAAAAUUUCAUGUCUUGUAAAGGAUUGUCUUGAGGUAUCUGAUUCAGGGAAGUUAGGCACCAAAAAGGAUUGAGUGAAACGAGUUGCAUUUGAUUGAUUGAAAUCUGUUCUCGGCUCCAUUCGCGCUGCCCAAAAAAUCACAGAAAGAGCAACAGCAUUCAUCUGCAAAAUGGUUUAGCACCAAAACAUAAGUUUUCUUUUUUCCUGAAUAGAAAACAAACCCAGCAAACAUCUUUAAAACGUUGAUUAAAACCAAUUUAAAAUGAUUCUUAAGGUAAAUUUGACAUGUUGGUCAUAAAUUUGUCAUAUUUUUGUGAAGAUAUCUAAAAGGUGUUUUAUAAGUAUGUCAAAAAGAAUGAAAGAAAGUAAAAAGUCAUCCAGUAAUAUCUAGUGCCAAAACACAAACCAUAACCAAUAAAGGGUGACCCUAUGCACAAAAUAUCUCACACCUAUGGGUUCUAGAGAGGAUUCAUGCACUUAGCCUUAUCCCUGCGAACUCGUGACCUCCAAAUCACAAAUGUUUCUGUAGCCUUAUCCCUCAAACCAUAACCUAUAGAGUGUCUUUAUUUCUAGCAAAACUGCAUACCAGCAUGGCAGAAAUUUCAUGAACCCUUCAAGCCAUGCACAGUAAAUUAACCACAGGCCAAAGCAUAAACAGAAAGCUAAUAUCAACUUCUUUAUACCUUUGUUCCAAUUUCUUAAUAGAGAAACUGUGACAGUUUUGAUAUAUCUAUGCCUUCUUAUAUCUUAUAAGAAAUUAAAAUUAAAUAACCUGUGCUGCUGAAAUCAACAAUACAAUCACGCGACUUAUCCUCACAUGGAAUCUCAGGAAACUCUCAAUCUUUUUAUGGCACUCAUCAAUACUUGAAGCAAUUUGCUGUUACAGGAGGAGACAAAAUAGAGAAGCAAUGGUUAAGAAUUGAGGUUAAAUUGAAAAGUAAUUUCACAAAAUAAGCAACUUACAGUGAUCAGUUGGGAAUCUUUAGAUAUAAAAAUGGGUUCAGGACCCCGUAUAGAUUAUUCAUAAGAAAAUUUGAAAAAAGAAAGUAUAAUUGGACAAUUCUUAACUGCUUGUGGAAGAUUGGUCUAAAAGAUCAAGCAAAUUAUAUGUUUCUUUUACUGAGUACUUAAUUAUAUGAAGAAAAACUUCUGGUUAUUGUAAAAGAUUAAUUUCAAGUUAAUUUUUCUGAUGGAUUUUAUCGCUAAAAGAAUCCCAAAUACCCAUGCAUUGGACAAUGUCAAGCAAGCGUACCGCUAACAGAUCCAUCUUGAAGAAAACUAUGACAAUAACAGCCACCUCAAGGAAAAGAAGGCAGCAGCCAAUGAAAAUAUAAGAACAAAUAGUGUAAUUGCUGAUAGAAUUAACUGCCAUAUAACCACAUAGGGUGCUCAAGCAGACAGCAAUUCCCACACCUGAACAUGUAUAUAUAAACCUGCAAUGUAAAACAGAAGCAAUAAUAUGCCGUGAUAUUUUGGGUUAAGCAGAAUUUGGUUUAAACAAAAAAACACCAACCAAACCUAUUUAGUUCGGAAAUUCGGUUUAAUUAAUUGUUGUUAGGUCUAAAAUUAAGUCUGAAAUGAGUCCAAAAUAAACCAAGUUGAAGCUCAAAUCGAUAAAUCAAACUGAACCGAUUUAGUUUGGUUCAAUUCGAUUUUUCUCUAAUUCAGUUCAGUUUUGUCUGCUAUAAAUUUUGGUUUGGUUUGUUUUCCAGACCAGCAAGGGAACUAAAUAUCAAUAACAAGAAAAUUGCAAGGUAUUAGGCUAUCGUAGCAUCUGUGUAUGAAAAUUUCAUGUGCAAUUUCUAAUUGUACUUCUGUGAGGAAACUCAGUUAUAGAAGCUAUCUAACAUACAAGAAAAUGGACCACCAAAUUCAAGAGUGGGACAAAGACAUGAAGAAAUAAAUUAAUAUAAUCCUAUGAUUGACAAAGACAGCAUUUGACAACUUCAUACUACACAUGCGUAAUACAUACACUAUGGUAUUAUUUAAUCAUAUAUUACAAGCAGAAAUACCAGACUGAAACUACCACCUAAAAGAAUUGUAAUAAAAAUGAAAACUAAAAACCAUAUAUUAGAUUAUGCAUACAAAUAGCAGAAGAAAACAUGGGACUUAGAGCAAAAGAUUAUAUUUGCAUACACAGGUUAGAAAGAGAGAAAUGAUCCUAGGUGAUGUCAUAUAUGCUUCAAGAAAUGGGUGUGUUCAGUGAGUAAUAAUAAGCAGAGAUGGAAAAUUUACCAAGGUUUUGGAGGAGGUGAGGCAGGAUGUAGCACAGAAAAACAUUGAUGCCACUUCUUGUCAAGCCAGAGGGAGUAGAUGAUUAUUCCAAUUGCAAAGAAGACCAUUAUCAGGUUCAAUAACUUUAUUGAGUUGUGCAAGCUACAUCUCGGGCACCUGACCAUUGCUAAUCUUGGUGUAACCUGUGUUAAGGUACGGAAGUCAAUGUUAGUAUGCAUAUAAAUAAUCUCCCUCCAAGCUUACACUCCAUUUGAAAUGAAGUGCCAGUGGGCUUUACUGCUUUAGUGUGGGGUUUCGGUGGUAGGGUUGUGUGUGCUGAGAGAGAUACCAAUUCUAGUGGAGAUGCUCCUGAGGUGUGCUGAGAGACAGGACGACCCCUACAUGCGUUGAAAGACAGAUGCAAAAAGGCAGAAAACGUGUACAUAAACACCAAAGCCUAAGAAGACCUAACAUUCAAAGUACAAAACACCAAAUGAUUGACGUCUCAUUGCCCAAGGACCAUUAACAUCAACAUCAAUAAAUAUAUUCUUUUUAAUUAAGACUUCAUUUUUCACAGGAUUAGUAUUCUAUUCAGUACAAAUAACAGUUUGACAAAAUAAUAAAACGGUAACAUAUGGAUGGAAGCAGACCCUCGCAAGAUUUCCUAUCAAAAAAUUCCAGUAUUUGAAAGCCAAAAUGUUAAAACCAUUCAUCACACAAUUAGUUCCCGUAGGAUGGCCUGGAGGACGUUUGCUUUUAAACCUCAGCAACAAGCUCCUGCUAACGUUCAGGGUUGGUUCUUGAUGCAGACAGAUAACAGCAGAAUCCCAAGCUCAUAAGAACAUUAUCUAUUCUAUUGUUCAAAACUAGUCAAGGAGCAAAGCAUAACAAUCAAGAGCCAGCAAAGAAUAAAUGUCAUCCCCAACAUUAUCUUAGUCUCAGUUGGCACACCCCUAGUUCAGGAUUAGGGCUUAAUUGUUGUUGUAGUUUCGGUUGGUACACCCACCAGUCAUAAUGCAUGCGUGCACUUGAGCACUCUGCCAAAUCAAUCUGCGAUUUAAAAAAAUACAAAAGUGGAUGAUUUUUUUUUUUAUUUAUAUAUAUUGUUACAAUAACUUUUAUUUUCAGCCACAAAGCCUAGCAUACAGCAUUCCAAAUACAUUACUAUCUCUAUCUGCAGAGUACAAGAAAAUUACAUUUCAAAGCUAACCAAGUUGCUCUAAUUCAAAAAUAAUAUGCAGGAAAAUGAUGAUAUAAAACAAAAUUCCUGCCAAGGGGGUCAACUUCUAGAAAGUUAAAAGGCCUCAGUCCAGCUUUAUCCGAUCCAUAUCAUUUAUCAUCCCUUCAAGCUUGACAAUUUGCCACAAAAAGUAAUUACCAUACAGCUUCGAUGGUUUUGAUUCAAUUACAUGAAUCAUGUCAUCAUGAAUGUAGAAAUCGACAUCAGCAUUAGAGAGGAUCUUUCCCUCAAAAUAAAUAGCAUGAGUCUUGUGUUUGUACACCAUCAAGAUAGUCCUAUAAUAAAACAGCACAUUAAAAUAUCAUACAGUAAACAAAUUAUCUAAGAGAAAAAAGUAAAAGUUCUCACCUUAGAGUGGGUUCAUCUGCCUCCAUGUAAUUGGCAAGCUUUGCAAUGGAUAUGGUUGAAUACACCUUCAAGAAGGUCCGGACACCUGAUAACAACUGUUGCUGCUUCACUUCAUAGAGAAAUAGCUUCAA